This is a long non-coding RNA of Fopius arisanus, 2308 nucleotides long. RefSeq lists it as uncharacterized. Lineage: Eukaryota; Metazoa; Arthropoda; Insecta; Hymenoptera; Braconidae. The transcript has 3 exons. The record is from RefSeq and is a predicted model, not a curated record.
UUAAACUCAAUGAAAAAAGACGGAUACGAGUAAUUAAACGCAGAGUCUACAGACAAUGUAGACCUACUUGUCGCACCGAAUAGUGAAAUUCAAUAGUAAAAAUAGUUCCAUCAAUCGUGAGUGUCGAAAAUGGUCGUAUAGAACUUUUUCAAAAUAUGUGAAUGAAUCAAUCGAAUGACUCAACUAGUUUUACAACAUGAAUUUAUUGAUGAAGACGAAACUAUCUGUAGUCGAGUGAAUAAUCCUCACCCGUUUGUUGAUGAGAAUUUCCGGCAAGCAAUGAAUGUUGAUCAGUUGCUGUAUUCUGUAAAUUUUUAGAUACCAUUUGGUUGGAGCAUUCUAAAGCAGUUGAAUAAGAAAAUUAAAGGCAAACGCGAUUCCAGAGACACGCAUGCGCUAUCCAACACAUAAACACACACGUAAACAUACACAUGGACAUAUCUCCCACCAUGUCACUGUACGCUUCAAGGUCUGCCCGAAGAAGGACAGAAACUUGAAUCGGCUAGCCUUCGGUCACUGGGGAAAAAGUGAGAGAUUCCUGAUCAAUUACACUCCAUUGCCGAUUGACUCUCGUACGAAUUUUCCAUCUUCCUCAACUCUCACUUUUUUUUUCUCAAACGGUGUCCUAAAAUUUAGCUCACAUUGUUCUCGAGCAGGUGGGAAUGUGCAAAUCCGGCCCUUAUUCUCGUUUUGUGUUUCGCCCCUACUCUAACUUCUUUGUUCUGCACUACGCAUGCGCUGUAGCCUCCCUAAGUAUUCUCAACAAUUCGUUUGAGUGCAUGAAUGUAAAAGCGAAAAAAAGAGAAUGAGUGAAGAAUGGAAAUAAAAAAAAAACGCCUUUGUGAAGCGUAGAUACAGAAACGAGAGCGAAAGAUUGAAAUUCAAUCACUCGAAUGAAAUUUCCGACAAAUAUUCGAGCGUGUGACGUAAAACGAACCGAACUCUAUGACCAGGAGUGUUAGUGUGUCCCGGGGCCAUAUAAAUAUACCUUCGAUCCGAUUGAGGAACACUGCGACCAUGCUGCCAAAAAUAAAACAGUUUGUAAUAUUAUGGAGAAGGGUGGAGUGCGAUUGGCGAUGAAAACAAAAAAAAUAGAAUAAAAAAUUAUCGUAGUCCGAGCCCAAAAAUUCCGUAAAUAUCGUGGAUAUAAAAAACAUCGGAGGAAGAGAGGGAGAGAGUGAGUGGUGCGGAUGAAAGAGUUGUCCUCCCCAUGGCUAUAAUUAUUAUCGAUCGAUCAACCUCACGUGAGAGCCAUUAAGCGACAUCAUGAGGUCCCCAUAAAGUGACACUCCCUUCUGGUUACCAAAUACUUUUCUCAUUCCAUCAAUCGAUGAGACCCCAUUUAUCGGGAUAUCGAUGAGGAAUUUGCAAUUUUUAGUCAAAGCAUUCGAGCGGUUUUGAAAAAAAAUUGGUGCAUGGAUGUGACUGCUGAGUUUAUUUGAGUUCCUCCUCGUUUCCGGUUGCUUCUGUUUGCAUACGCGCAUUUUUAUGACAUCUGAGAGACUUGAAGAGAAUGGAAGCAAUGAAAAUCUCAUCUCUCGUAGUUCUGGAGGCACAUGGCGUCGAGUCGAUGAGAACCUUCGAUGUGCCGACAGCUGUCCGAGACCAGAGCACCUGCGGAGGAUUGAUGAUGCGCUUGUCUCAGAAAAUCCUGAGGUAUCUGCAAAUCCCAUGACAAAGGGGACCUUGUUCUCCAGAGUGAAGCCAAGAAAAGGCAAUACCAUUUUCUUUGAACACUCCAAUGCGAAAUAUGUUUCUCGUCAAACGGUCAUACUUGCAUGUUAUAUAUUUUCCCCUAUUCUCAGUAGUAUCAUUUAUUUCAGUUAUAAAGAGUCACAAUUAAGUUUUAUAUCCUCUGUAAACAGAGACUGACAUUUCCGUUGAAAAUUCACUUCAAAUUGCCUGGAUAGCACGUGGAUCUUAACAGGGGAAUAAUCCGAACCUCUGUAUUCACGGGAGAAUAAAAAUUCACGGAUGGCAAACCUCCGACAUAGACUGUUCCGUGGAGUUCUUCACGAAAACAAGUUUCAGUCGUUCAAGGCUACACGAGGGACACUGUCGACAGACCAUGACCGCGGGAAAAUUUCAGGGAAUUUUCAUCACCCCGGAAAAUCUAAUGAGAAUUCCUCAUUUUUACUGACAGAAGAUCGUAAUCCCACAACGUGCACGUAUUUUCGAGGAGAAUAGUUAUUCAAUUGCCUAACAAUUGAUAGUGACAAUGAUGAAAUUGCUUGACCAGUGGUAAUGCUUUGUGCUAAAAAUCGACAAUCCUCUUAGCGCAAGUAUCAUUGAAAAAUGUUAUCGGAUG